UUCCAGACUCCUACGGGAGGCAGCAGUGAGGAAUAUUGGUCAAUGGGCUUACGCCUGAACCAGCCAAGUCGCGUGAGGGAAGACUGCCCUAUGGGUUGUAAACCUCUUUUGUCAGGGAGCAAUUGGCGCUACGUGUAGCGUUAUCGAGAGUACCUGAAGAAAAAGCAUCGGCUAACUCCGUGCCAGCAGCCGCGGUAAUACGGAGGGUGCAAGCGUUGUCCGGAAUCAUUGGGCGUAAAGAGUUCGUAGGCGGUAUGUUAAGUCUGGUGUUAAAUGCAGAAGCUCAACUUCUGUUCGGCACUGGAUACUGGCAAACUAGAAUGCGGUAGAGGUAAAGGGAAUUCCUGGUGUAGCGGUGAAAUGCUUAGAUAUCAGGAGGAACAUCGGUGGCGUAAGCGCUUUACUGGGCCGUAAUUGACGCUGAGGAGCGAAAGCCAGGGUAGCAAAUGGGAUUAGAUACCCCGGUA
Molecule: ribosomal RNA, 467 nt
Filed under: uncultured bacterium
Lineage: Bacteria
Description: bacterial SSU rRNA
Rfam family: Bacterial small subunit ribosomal RNA
Source: RNAcentral